Molecule: non-coding RNA, 906 nt
Organism: Cinara cedri
Lineage: Eukaryota; Metazoa; Arthropoda; Insecta; Hemiptera; Aphididae
Source: the annotation of a GenBank genome assembly
UUUAAAUUAUCAUUUACUUUCAGACUUCAGACUAGUGGACAAUGUACAUAUACUUAUAAUUUAAACAAUUGGAUAUUCGAAAAAGUAGACUGUCUUCACUAUAAUUGUUUAUUCAUUUAAUUAAAUGUUGAAACAAAUUUUAAGUUUAUUAAUUAAAUAUGUUUAUUUUGUAUUUUUAAAAUUUGGGUUUACUCUUUUUUUUUUUUAUUUAUUAUCAUCACAAAUAAGGUUUACAAUAACUGUAAAUUGAUUAUAACUCAGAAAACUGUUUUAAGUAAUAACAAUUAUCCAGUUUAAUAGUGCUCAAAUUGAGAGGGGCAUGAAUACAUGAGUGGACUGCAGUGUCUUCUUUAGUUCUUUUAUAGAUUUUAGCGUACCCCAUAAUUUAAUUAACCUAGGAAUGAUUACUAAAAAAUUUGGUAGCAAAAUAAACACAAGAAAAGUAUCAUAUAAAAUAAUGAUGUGAAUUUAUUUAAAAUUUCAUGAAAUGUAUUCAAAUCUGCAGAUUAUGGUCAACUUUUCAAUUUGUUCAAACUUUAUAAAAAUAUAUAUUUCUAUAAUAUUAUAUUUCCUAAAAUGUUGAUACAGUGUGCUAGGUAACUAUACCAUUACUUAAUGCGCUGCCAUUAUACAUUUUAAAAUAUCGCUUUACCACAUUACGUGUAUUUGACACCUCUCCAAAUUUUGAAAUGAAAAAUUAAUAUACCGUGCAAUUAGGUGAUAUAGUAAAGAAUUUGGGGCAGAUAUUUUUACUUGUAAUAAUUACUAUUUUGCAAAAUAGGUAAUGUAAAAUUCUAUGUGUAAACAUCACAUUGUGCUUUUGCUCCACUACUCUCCCCCCCCCCCUAUCAAAAGAAUAACAUCUAAAUAUCUUCUUUUUUUUUAAUAUAUAUAAUUGAAGAAAAU